RNAcentral lists this unclassified non-coding RNA (337 nucleotides) under soil metagenome. Its description in RNAcentral is "partial contains 5.8S ribosomal RNA, internal transcribed spacer 2, and large subunit ribosomal RNA". The stretch from base 1 to 120 matches the Rfam family "5.8S ribosomal RNA", at positions 35 to 154 of the family's 154-position model. The record is from RNAcentral.
GAUGAAGAACGCAGCGAAAUGCGAUACGUAGUGUGAAUUGCAGAAUUCCGUGAAUCAUCGAAUCUUUGAACGCACAUUGCGCCCCUUGGUAUUCCAUGGGGCAUGCCUGUUCGAGCGUCAUUUGUACCUUCAAGCUCUGCUUGGUGUUGGGUGUUUGUCUCGCCUCUGCGUGUAGACUCGCCUCAAAACAAUUGGCAGCCGGCGUAUUGAUUUCGGAGCGCAGUACAUCUCGCGCUUUGCACUCAUAACGACGACGUCCAAAAGUACAUUUUUACACUCUUGACCUCGGAUCAGGUAGGGAUACCCGCUGAACUUAAGCAUAUCAAUAAGCGGAGGA